GCUAAUGUAGCUUAAUUUAAAGCAUGGCACUGAAGACGCUAAUAUGAAAAAUAGGAUUUUUCCAUGGGCA
RNAcentral lists this transfer RNA (70 nucleotides) under Orectolobus japonicus (Japanese wobbegong). RNAcentral's name for it is "tRNA-Phe". It matches the Rfam family "tRNA". Rfam says of the family: Transfer RNA (tRNA) molecules are approximately 80 nucleotides in length. Their secondary structure includes four short double-helical elements and three loops (D, anti-codon, and T loops). Further hydrogen bonds mediate the characteristic L-shaped molecular structure. tRNAs have two regions of fundamental functional importance: the anti-codon, which is responsible for specific mRNA codon recognition, and the 3' end, to which the tRNAs corresponding amino acid is attached (by aminoacyl-tRNA synthetases). tRNAs cope with the degeneracy of the genetic code in two manners: having more than one tRNA (with a specific anti-codon) for a particular amino acid; and 'wobble' base-pairing, i.e. permitting non-standard base-pairing at the 3rd anti-codon position. The record is from RNAcentral. Lineage: Eukaryota; Metazoa; Chordata; Chondrichthyes; Orectolobiformes; Orectolobidae.